This 416-nucleotide ribosomal RNA is filed under the name uncultured bacterium. RNAcentral describes it as "partial 16S ribosomal RNA". It matches the Rfam family "Bacterial small subunit ribosomal RNA", at positions 361 to 774 of the family's 1533-position model. The record is from RNAcentral.
AUAUUGGUCAAUGGGCGCGAGCCUGAACCAGCCAAGUUGCGUGCAGGAUGACGGCCCUAUGGGUUGUAAACUGCUUUUAUACAGGGAUAAAGUAGGGAACGUGUUCCCUUUUGCAGGUACUGUAUGAAUAAGGACCGGCUAAUUCCGUGCCAGCAGCCGCGGUAAUACGGAAGGUCCGGGCGUUAUCCGGAUUUAUUGGGUUUAAAGGGAGCGCAGGCCGGAGGUCAAGCGUGAUGUGAAAUGUAGGGGCUCAACCUUUGAAUUGCGUCGCGAACUGGCUUUCUUGAGUGAGUACGACGUCAGCGGAAUUCGUGGUGUAGCGGUGAAAUGCUUAGAUAUCACGAAGAACCCCGAUUGCGAAGGCAGCUGACGAGUCCUUAACUGACGCUAAAGCUCGAAGGUGCGGGUAUCGAACA